This 619-nucleotide ribosomal RNA is filed under the name Pseudoalteromonas sp. M609. RNAcentral's name for it is "bacterial SSU rRNA". It matches the Rfam family "Bacterial small subunit ribosomal RNA", at positions 89 to 710 of the family's 1533-position model. Lineage: Bacteria; Pseudomonadati; Pseudomonadota; Gammaproteobacteria; Alteromonadales; Pseudoalteromonadaceae. The record is from RNAcentral.
UGACGAGCGGCGGACGGGUGAGUAAUGCUUGGGAACAUGCCUUGAGGUGGGGGACAACCAUUGGAAACGAUGGCUAAUACCGCAUAAUGUCUACGGACCAAAGGGGGCUUCGGCUCUCGCCUUUAGAUUGGCCCAAGUGGGAUUAGCUAGUUGGUGAGGUAAAGGCUCACCAAGGCGACGAUCCCUAGCUGGUUUGAGAGGAUGAUCAGCCACACUGGAACUGAGACACGGUCCAGACUCCUACGGGAGGCAGCAGUGGGGAAUAUUGCACAAUGGGCGCAAGCCUGAUGCAGCCAUGCCGCGUGUGUGAAGAAGGCCUUCGGGUUGUAAAGCACUUUCAGUCAGGAGGAAAGGUUAGUAGUUAAUACCUGCUAGCUGUGACGUUACUGACAGAAGAAGCACCGGCUAACUCCGUGCCAGCAGCCGCGGUAAUACGGAGGGUGCGAGCGUUAAUCGGAAUUACUGGGCGUAAAGCGUACGCAGGCGGUUUGUUAAGCGAGAUGUGAAAGCCCCGGGCUUAACCUGGGAACUGCAUUUCGAACUGGCAAACUAGAGUGUGAUAGAGGGUGGUAGAAUUUCAGGUGUAGCGGUGAAAUGCGUAGAGAUCUGAAGGAAUACC